ACAAAAACAUUAUUAUAUCGAUCUACCAAAGGAUCAAAAAUCCUAAUCAAAUUCAUAUCAAAUUCGUUUCAAAAUCAUAAUCAAAUUUAUAGGAAAAUCAUAAUCAAAUUCAUAUCAUAUCAAAGAUCAAAAAUACAUUGUAUCUCUAAAAUCGUAUCAUAUCAAAGAUCAUAUCAUAUCAAAGAUCAAAAAUCAUAACCCUAAUUGCGUUUACAAGAACCCUAAAAUUGUUUACAAACAAUAACCCUAAUUUUAAUAACCAUCAAAUCCCAAAUUAACUCAACCUAAUUUCGACAGAAUCUAACCCUAAUACUAACAUGCAAAAGGAAACAGAGAGGAAUCUUACCGUUUCGUCUCCGAUUGUCACCAAGUUCGUCUCCGAUUUGGAUCCUCGAUUUCAAUUUGGUUCAAAGAAUCAAUUUUGAUUUGUCUCCGAUUUGGAUCUUCGAUAAUCAUCCCGGUGGUUGAAACAGUCGUUAAGGUGAUAUUUUUGUUGCUGAUUUCAUGAACAAAUCACUAGAUUAACGUCGACGAAGUGAAUUGAUUUUGGUCUCUCCGUCGGCAAACACGAAGAAAAGAGAGAGAAGAAGAAGAAAAAUUAAACGCGUUUUCUAUAUUUUUUUUUUUUUGUCAACUUGUUUACCCAAUCAAAAUUUGCCACGUCAGGAUUUCUAUUGGAUCUCAAAAACCCCAUUUUUGGGAACGAUCCUAAACGGAUUGUUGUGUUUUUCUUUCAUUUGGGCCCAUUUCAUCUUAGAAAUGCUCUAUAGAAAUCCAUUAAAAACCCUUGCUGGACUUGGUCUCACAGCCUAAGUCUUGUGAUACACGAAUCGAAGUAUUCCGUCGUUAAUACCUCCAUACAUGAAACCAUCUUUGUCUUUUGUUUUAAGGUCUCGUAAUCUUUAUGGUUUUGUGCUUUACGUUUUCCAUUGGUUUUUGAGUAUUCUAUCUCUAAUCCAUAAUACUUGUAAAUAAAAUAAAUAAUAUUAUGUUAGAUGUAUUAGAACUUUAUGGUUUCGAAUGGUGCAAGCGGAUCAAGCGGUGCGGAUCAGGCAGAUCAAGCGGUUCAUGCAGAUCAAUUGUGGAUCAAGCGUAUUAGGCGGAUCAAGUAAAAAAAGUGUGGAUCAAACAAUUCAAAAUCUAUGUUGAAUGGUGAAAUGAUAGAAAAGCGGUUUCAGUAGUAAAAAUAAUUACAAAAUAUUGAAAGUUAAUAUU
Molecule: small RNA, 1215 nt
Filed under: Arabidopsis thaliana (thale cress)
Lineage: Eukaryota; Viridiplantae; Streptophyta; Magnoliopsida; Brassicales; Brassicaceae
Description: ATSL263380
Source: RNAcentral